UCAUCUGCCACUACGUUCUGAGUUCAAAUUCCGCCGAGGUCGACUUUGCCUCUCAUCAUUUCGGGGUCGAUUAAAUAAGUACCAGUUGCGUACUGUGGUCUAUCUAAUGGACUGCCCCCAGUCCCCAAAAUUUCAGGCCUUGUCCUAGAGUA
This is a long non-coding RNA of Octopus sinensis (East Asian common octopus), 152 nucleotides long. RefSeq lists it as uncharacterized. The transcript is spliced from 2 exons. NCBI's taxonomy places the organism in Eukaryota, Metazoa, Mollusca, Cephalopoda, Octopoda, Octopodidae. The record is from RefSeq and is a predicted model, not a curated record.